RNAcentral lists this ribosomal RNA (913 nucleotides) under uncultured archaeon. RNAcentral describes it as "bacterial SSU rRNA". It matches the Rfam family "Archaeal small subunit ribosomal RNA", at positions 1 to 913 of the family's 1478-position model. The record is from RNAcentral.
UUCCGGUUGAUCCUGCCGGACCCCACUGCUAUCGAGGUGGGACUUAGCCAGGCCAGUCGAACGACUCGGACUAUGGCGAGAAGUGGCAAACUGCUCAGUAACACGUAGCUAACCUACCCUCAGGACGGAGACAACCCCGGGAGACUGGGGUUAAUCCCCGAUAGGCGUGGAUUCCUGGAAUGGUGUCACGCCGAAACGUUAACACACCAUGUUUGUGUACACGCCUGAGGAUGGGGCUGCGGCCGAUCAGGCAGUUGGUGAGGUAACGGCUCACCAAACCUUUGACCGGUACGGGCCGUGAGAGCGGUAGCCCGGAGAUGGACACUGAGACAAGGGUCCAGGACCUACGGGUCGCAGCCGGUACGAAACCUCCACAAUGCACGCAAGUGCGAUGGGGUUACCUCGAGUGCCGCCUGAAGAAGGCGGCUUUUCCAUUGUGUAAUGAGCCGUGGGAAUAAGGGGGGGGCAAGACUGGUGUCAGCCGCCGCGGUAACACCAGCCCCCCGAGUGGUGGGGAUGUUUAUUUGGCCUAAAACGUCCGUAGCCAGCUAGGUAAAUCUCUCGUUAAAUCCAGCGUCCUAAGCGUUGGGCUGCGAGAGAGACUGCCAAGCUAGAGGGUGGGAGAGGUCAGCGGUAUUUCUGGGGUAGGGGCGAAAUCCAUUGAUCCCAGGAGGACCACCAGUGGCGAACGCUGCUGACUAGAACACGCCUGACGGUGAGGGACGAAGCUGGGGUAGCGAAUCGGAUUAGAUACCCGAGUAGUCCCAGCCGUAAACGAUGCAGCUAGUGUUGGGUGACACGUGCGACUCAGUGCCACAGGAAGCCAUUAAGCCUGCUGCUGGGAGUACGUCGCAGCUGAACUUAAAGAUGCGGGAGAGCACCACAGGCGUGAGCCUGCGUUUAAUGAUCACGC